This 765-nucleotide ribosomal RNA is filed under the name uncultured archaeon. RNAcentral describes it as "bacterial SSU rRNA". It matches the Rfam family "Archaeal small subunit ribosomal RNA", at positions 1 to 774 of the family's 1478-position model. The record is from RNAcentral.
UUCCGGUUGAUCCUGCCGGACCUGACUGCUAUCGGAUUGAUACUAAGCCAUGCGAGUCUUUGUAGUAAUACAAGGCAGACGGCUCAGUAACACGUAGUCAAUCUACCCUAUGGACGGGGAUAACCUCGGGAAACUGAGAAUAAUACCCGAUAGAUCAUUAUGCCUGGAAUGGUUAAUGGUUCAAAUGAUUUAUCGCCAUAGGAUGGGACUGCGGUCUAUCAGCUUGUUGGUGAGGUAAUGGCCCACCAAGACUAUUACAGGUACGGGCUCUGAGAGGAGUAGCCCGGAGAUGGGUACUGAGACACGGACCCAGGCCCUAUGGGGCGCAGCAGGCGAGAAAACUUUGCAAUGUGCGAAAGCACGACAAGGUUAAUCCGAGUGGUUUGUGCUAAACAGACCUUUUGUUAGUCCUAGAAACACUAACGAAUAAGGGGUGGGCAAGUUCUGGUGUCAGCCGCCGCGGUAAAACCAGCACCUCAAGUGGUCAGGAUGAUUAUUGGGCCUAAAGCAUCCGUAGCCGGCUCUGUAAGUUUUCGGUUAAAUCUGUAUGCUCAACAUACAGGCUGCCGGGAAUACUGCAGAGCUAGGGAGUGGGAGAGGUAGACGGUACUCGGUANGAAGGGGUAAAAUCCUUUGAUCUAUUGAUGACCACCUGUGGCGAAGNCGGUCUACCAGAACACGUCCGACGGUAGGGAUGAAAGCUGGGGGAGCAAACCGGAUUAGAUACCCGGGUAGUCCCAGCUGUAAACUAUGCAAACUCAGUGA